GAGCCGUUAGCUCAACAGGUAGAGCACCUGACUCUUAAUCAGGGGGUUGCAGGUUCGAUUCCUGCACGGCUCACCA
This 76-nucleotide transfer RNA is filed under the name Dictyoglomus sp. Its description in RNAcentral is "tRNA-Lys". It matches the Rfam family "tRNA". From Rfam's summary of the family: Transfer RNA (tRNA) molecules are approximately 80 nucleotides in length. Their secondary structure includes four short double-helical elements and three loops (D, anti-codon, and T loops). The record is from RNAcentral. Lineage: Bacteria; Pseudomonadati; Dictyoglomota; Dictyoglomia; Dictyoglomales; Dictyoglomaceae. RNAcentral also lists the same sequence under 3 other names.